Molecule: non-coding RNA, 2846 nt
Organism: Phasianus colchicus (ring-necked pheasant)
Lineage: Eukaryota; Metazoa; Chordata; Aves; Galliformes; Phasianidae
Source: RefSeq, a predicted model, not a curated record
UUUAAAGUGCUGGACACGUAAAUACUCAACAGAAAUAAAAUUCAUAAUAUCACAUAGUUUAAAGAUUUACAUAAAUGUGUAAGUAAUGUUUUAGUGAUGGGAAGUGAAUUAGUGACCUAUUCCAGGAAGAAACUUCUCUGAUGGACCAAGUAGCAUCAUAAGUGUAUUGACACAGUGGGACUGUUUUAGAUUCAAAGCUCAACAACCACAAGAUGGUUUACAAGACUGCAGCCUGUAUUUUCUGUGUUUCCUGUGAUCAAUCUAUAUUAAAGACUUUUUGGUCAUUAUUAUUAGUUUAUUUUCUUCAUAGAGUAAGUCUCUGUUACUUGAACACUCUGAAGCCUUCUUUCAACAUCAGCAAAUCAUUAUCUAAAAAUUUCAAGGAGACACACUUUAAGAAUAUUUUCAGACAGCUUUAGCUUAACAUUUAGGUAAUAGUGCACCACUGAUAUGAGUGAGAAGUGAAUGCUGAUACACCAGUAGGAAUCUAGAACCUAAGACAGAAGCCUAAGCAACUCCUUUUAAUUGUUUCUUUGUCUCCUAAAUUACCUUGUCAUUUAAAAAUGAAAAUUACCUCACUGAAUUUACAGAGAAUCUAGAACCAUAGAAUGAUUUGGGUUGGAGAAUGGUGGACCUAACUUACUUGCCCAUCUGUGAUAAUAGUGCUUGUUAUUAAUCUAACUUUUUUGAAGAAUUUCAAGAUCCUUUUUUGGAGGCUUUUCUAUACUAAUUUGUUACAUAUAAUCAAUCCUGAAAGUAACUAUGAGCCAGUCUAUUUCAGUAUAAGGAUUGAUUAAAAGUAAUAUUUAUCUGAUUCAGAAACUUUCUGAUUAUCUACCAUCGGAAUUUUUAUUUGCUAGCACUUAAAUGACAAGUAGAUGCCAAUCCAGAUAUUAUGUUUACAAUUGUUAAAUAGGUAAUUUCAGGAAGAUUUCUUUUUUACAUUUAUUCUUAACAAUGAUACCAAGUUUUCUCUUAUGUUACUUGGUAACUUACUUCAUUGUGUCUCUGACUCCAAAUGGCAGUUUGGAAGAGUUGCUAGAUGUGGUGUAGUAUACCAUUUUCUCUGCAAGACAAAAAAGAGUAGUAAGAAAAAUUAAUAUGGUACUGCAUCAACUAUGACUUAGUUUUCUAAAUGGCUCACCAUGAACCAUAUUGCAUGCCUGCUAAAUAUGUGAGAUUUUGUAGCAGAUGAAGCACUUACGUGUAUUUCCUGCUUUUCCUUGCCAUGUUAUGCUUUCAAAUUCAGCCCCACCGAUUUGUUAUUUACUGAUUUCCCUUACAUCUACUUAUCUGUGUCUGUCCUCAUGGAAUUAUCUGCCAAAUACUUAUUGCAGUGUUUUUAGUACAAAUAAUUAGACAGUGCUUUUGUUAUAGCUUAAUAAGACUGAGUAGAAUUACUGAUUCAGCAGUUUCAGAGAUAUCUAUGAUCAGUAAUCUUUGGAUAGAGUAGGAAGUAUUUCAGCCUUAGCUCAAGUAUUUAUAGUAAAAAAUUAUGUGCCCAGCUAAAGCUGAGUUUUCUCAGUGACCCUCCACUGGAUUCUCUCCAGUUCCCUGUCUGCCUUCAGCUGCGAGCACAGCACUCCAAAUGUGGCCUUCACAGGACAGAGGGGAGGAGAAACCAGCCUUAGCCUGCUGGCCAUGCUCUGUGCAAUGCAUCUGAGGGUGCCAUUGGCCUUCUUGGCCACAAGGGCACACUGCUGGCUCAUGGUCAGCCUGUUGGCCACCAGGACACCUUAGUCCUUCUCUACAGAGCUCCUUUCGAGCAGCUCAGCCCCUAACCUGUACUGAUGCAUAUGGUUAUUCCUCCCCAGCUGUAGGGGGAGGACAUUUGCCCUUGUUGAAUUCUGUGCAACUCUCAACUUGUCCAGGUCUCACUGAAUGGCAGCACAGCCUUGUACUGUUGACACGGUACAGUUAAGAUGAGGUGAAUUCUCAGCAAAUACAGCAGACUUUUUGUAUACUUUGAAUUCAGUGUGUAUUAUGUUUCAUUACUGGAGUUACGUCAUAGUCAGAAAUGAGACCAUGAAACAUCUUAACUAGCAAACCAGGCAAGUAUUUGUUACAAAAAAGAUGUGUCAUUCAAUCCAAGCUAGUAGUUCAUAUGUCAAUUUAAGUUUGUAUUGGCAUUUCAGCAGGUGAAAUUGUAGGGGCAAAUUCCAUUGAUGUGGUAGGUAUUAACUAUGAGGUCAAAGCUUAUGCAUUUGAGAUAAACCUGAGCAUGAUUUAAAUUACCAAAAAAAAAAAAAAAAAGUCAUAUGAAUCAUGAAUAGUGAGGUUGCUCUCUCUUCCCUGGUUGCCCAUCUGUUGAUCUACUUGGCCUUUCUAGACUGCAAACUCUUUGACGGGGAGACUGCGUUUGUGAAACACUUUACACAAGUUCACACCAGCAAGAACUUUGUAAGAAAUCUUAUGAAGGCUAUUUUUGUUGCUGUGAGCAUAGGUGUUGCUCUCCCCAGUCACAAAAAUCUUACUGACAAGUCUGUUACCUGCUUUGAGGCAGAUGAAAGCUAAUUCUCACUAAACGGAAGCUUACUUUUUGCUCUCGGUUUUUCUCACAAGCAGUGUUUGUAAAAAUUGCCAGCUCACAGGAGAAGUGUGAGUUGACAGGGAUGUGGUAAGCUACUUGUUAAGAAAGAGAGGACCAAGCACUGAAUUUGCUGCAAGAAUGGAAGAACUGCUAGCGACGGAGGUCUUCUGCUGUUAUUUCUUUUACAUUGUUUUCCUUUCUGAUUGCCAGGUCUAGUUAUUGGCAGGUGAAGAAUCUGUAUUUUGCUCAUCUGGCUUUCUACAGGAAAAGCAACGUGAAUUAUAUCAUGCCUCUUUAAGAAAACAAAGGUUACCUG